UUAGUAUGUAGUUGCUGAAUGCGUGAAUAACAGCAGUGACAAUAAGAAUGGAUGCGUCUGGCUUCAGGAGAGAACGGUGGGAUUAUCAAAGCAGGAUGUGGGCUGGAUUGAUGCCAUUCGAACAGCCGUCCCGGGUCCUAGAGAGCCUGGAGGGGCCCCGGGGCUGCAGCGGGGUGAGAAGGCGUCAGGGCCUGAGGUGGCCCCCUUUGUGCCUCAAAGGUCACUCAAGCUCCACUGCUCCUCCCCAGAGGGCACCCACUCCACUUCCAUCUAUUCACAUGCCAGAUCUCCAUACCGGACCCGGUCUGAAGAAAGGGUUUCCUGCUAAAUAAAAUAAGCAAUGACGACAAUAAUGGUAAUAGUAAUGUCUGAAACGUCGCUGGCCUAGGGAACCCAGUCAGGUACUUCAGCACUAAAAUCAAAAUGCGUGGGUCCUCUCUCCCUUUGCUGAAAGUCAUUUGGUUGGGCAGCGCAGGGCUCCCCACAGCAGGUGUUCGUCCUGCCGAGACGCCUGGCCUUGUGGGUACGCGUUCCAGGUAAACAGGGUUGUAAGUUAACUCGUCCAUUCAGGACGUCACAAGAGGCGCUCAAUGAACCGAAAAGAAAACAGCCCCUGGGCGCCUUCAGCGCCCACACUCCAGCGGCUUCUGAAAGGAGCGUCUCGGCAAGGAAACAAAGCCUCCCGCCUGGGCCGCAGGAGCCCAUCCUGCCCACGCGGUUCCAGAGUCUGAACCAGGGAGGGGGGGCUCGGCGCUCGGGCAGCAUCGCAGGGCCGCACUGAAGGGCCUCGUCUCCCGGUCAGCGGGGAACGUGCGGCGGGGCCCCUGUGCUCCCAUCCUGCCCCAGAUGGUCACCGCCGGCUCACGGGGCUGUCUGCCCACCUGGGGCCCACAUGUCCACGCUCCACUCCGCCCAAAAGCAGCAUGGACGAAUACCUCUCUACAUGCAGGAUCUCCUGAGCGUCAGGCCAGGACGCCAUCACCAAAGGCGGGUCCAGCUGUCUGGGCGGUGGCUGCCGGUGCCUUGUGAGCCGCCCACACUUGCUCUUGGCGGAGGGCAAGCUCGAUGGCUGUGAGGCUCACUCUUAGGCGAAACAAGGCACACAGUGCACAGAAUCUUUCCCGCCUACCCCCAGAGCAGACUGUAGGGUGCGGAAAGCACAUCCUGUGUCACUAGACAAGGCGGAGGCCUGACAAAGGCCCUUUUGAGAAUCCCAGGACGUCCUAACAAACCAAAAAGGAUCAGCAGUGAGAAGACCCCGUGCGGUGUGAUGACGAGAGCGGGCGUCGUGGGCGGAGUCGGAGGGCCAGGUCAGCACCUCUGAACUCGCAGAGGAGAAGAGAUGAGCAGGGUCACCUCGGAACGCGGAGAAAAGGGGCUGCCCAGCUCUCCGUGAGGAGGCAGCCAGAGCGCCCUCGCCGCGGACAGGCGCUGUCGGCUGUGCUUCCCCCACGUUCCUUACGAGGCGACUCUGGACUGGACAGAAGACGUUUGCGAGAUUAAGGUGGGAUCGAUAUUGCGGCCCAGAGGACAGCGCAGCGCGGGCUUGAAACCAGCAGGCGGGUGGAGGCCCGACCGGGGGCGGCGACGGCAGCCUUAAAGUCCGGCCCCCGCGCAGCAGGCACAGGAAAUAAGAUCAUCACGGGGGAUACAGGACGCCCCGGAAGCUUCCAGACGAGAGGAGCGCCGGUGGGCGUCGGGCUGGGAUCCGUUCCCUGUCGGGAGCGCCAGAUGACGCAGCACCCGCCUGAGUCAGGCUCCUUCGGGCCGCGCCGCCAGAGGACGCGAAACCGCUCAGCGUUAAGACGAGAAAAAGCCCCCGAGGCCUGCGCGGCGGAGGUCACGUCUCACGGAGCUCUUCCUCCGCCUGCCCCUCCUGCCGGAUCCUGCUCCUCCUCCGGCCGGGGCACCCCCUGCCCCCACCUCCGCUCUGAUGCCGUGUGGUCUCCCAUCUGCUGCGCCCUCCGCUAACAUCCCUGACUGAUGGGCGCGGACACCGAGCUCCCGCCAGCGUCGCAUCCAGGCGACUGUCCCAGAGGGACGCGGGAUGCACACCGGAGCCUGGACCCCGGAGGCGGGUGGCCGCUGCGCACGACUUCUCAGGGGGGCGUGGAGCCUGCGCCUGGGGCCACCUGGCCUCCGCGGAGCCCCUCUGCCGCCUGUCUGAGCCCCGCGGGGCAGUGGCCGGCCCGGGGUCCGGAGGCCCGUUUCACGAGUUCCCUGAACCUGCGUUUCUGCUCUGCUUCCGCUGCGCCCUGUGGGCCCCGCGGGACUUCCCACCACCCCACGCGGAGCCUGAGUUUUCCUAUUUAGGAGGCUGGUGGGGACGGCGGCUUUGGUUAACCCCAGCCCUCUCCGCGGGGUCAGUCUGUGCCCUGCGGAGUGAGGAGGAGCAGCCCGAGGCCCCUGCGGGCACCGCCCGGCCUGCGGCAGCCCGGGGUCUGCAAACGGGGCUGCGGCCGGCCUGGGUGAUCGGGCCAUCUUUCCUCACGCAGAUCAUUCGGGAGAAAGAAAGUCUGACGCCCCCGGACAGAAGAGCCCGCUCGAAGAACAGCAGCAAGAGGUCCUUGUCCAGUGUGUCAUUAAAAAAAAAAAAAAAA
Molecule: long non-coding RNA, 2600 nt
Filed under: Equus caballus (horse)
Lineage: Eukaryota; Metazoa; Chordata; Mammalia; Perissodactyla; Equidae
Description: lncRNA (ENSECAG00000045595.1)
Source: RNAcentral